Molecule: ribosomal RNA, 355 nt
Filed under: Klebsiella pneumoniae
Lineage: Bacteria; Pseudomonadati; Pseudomonadota; Gammaproteobacteria; Enterobacterales; Enterobacteriaceae
Description: bacterial SSU rRNA
Rfam family: Bacterial small subunit ribosomal RNA
Source: RNAcentral
GCAGGCCCUACACAUUGCAAGUUCGAGCGGUAGCACAGAGAGCUUGCUCUCGGGUGACGAGCGGCGGACGGGUGAGUAAUGUCUGGGAAACUGCCUGAUGGAGGGGGAUAACUACUGGAAACGGUAGCUAAUACCGCAUAACGUCGCAAGACCAAAGUGGGGGACCUUCGGGCCUCAUGCCAUCAGAUGUGCCCAGAUGGGAUUAGCUAGUAGGUGGGGUAACGGCUCACCUAGGCGACGAUCCCUAGCUGGUCUGAGAGGAUGACCAGCCACACUGGAACUGAGACACGGUCCAGACUCCUACGGGAGGCAGCAGUGGGGAAUAUUGCACAAUGGGCGCAAGCCUGAUGAUGCA